GUAAACGUUAGGAGGAGGUUAUGCCUUAAACUUAUGAGUAAGGAAAAUAACGAUUCGGGGUGACGCCCGAAUCCUCACUGCUAAUGUGAGACGAAUUUUUGAGCGGGUAAAGGUUGCCCCUACGGUGACCCGCCUACUUUGCGGGAUGCCUGGGAGUUGCGAUCUGCCCGUACUCCUUGCAUCUAAAAAAUAGAAUUUAAUAAUUAACCGAAUUGAGUGAAAGUUGAAGACGAACUAAGGAAUUAUGUGUAGUCACCAUUAUUGAUUAACAGUAGUGGUCAAACUUCGCGCCCCUACCCGGGGUUGUUAACCCGUAAAACGGUUAAGAUUGGGUUUAGAUAAGAGUCAGUUCUUUGCAGCUUACGAGGUACGUUGACUGGGAGUGCUACCAAUUAAUUGUUCGGGGGAGACAACGUGCAAUACACAAGAGCCUCGUUGUGUGGGUUAUAAUGAAGUGCUUACGUAACACGGCUCACACUUCUGGGCAGUAGGACGUUUACAACCGAAUGUUUUGGCCAGCCUGACCGUUGUCUUCCUAAUCUGCACAAUGGGGCACAUGAACUACGUCGCUGCGAGGGCCAAAUGAAGUGUUCCGAAUCUGUAUUUUUUUUUUUAAUUGAUGUAAUCUCAGUCUCCAGCACUGAUCCUGGUGGGAGGUUCAGUAUGUCGAACCAGUGAAUGAAAAAUACAACAACAGCAGGAAACGGAAUUCCUUGGCGAUCCAGUGGUGAGGACUGCGCGGUUCUGCUGCAGCGGGCCCGGGGUUAGAUCCCUGAUCGCGGAAGUAAAACACCCGCAUGCAGCGCGGUGUGGCCGAAACACCACCAACAGAAAAACAGAAACAUAAAACAAAGACUAAACGUGCAACGCGUUUUAGGCCAGCGCCGAACAAAGAUUAAGUGCCCUAUGAAUCACUGCUGUAAGUACAACGGGUGAGUGGAGUUAUGUGUUCUCGACAGAACAUCACACCGCAGAUGAAAACCUGGCAUCAGAAAGAAGGUCCGUGGAGAGACGAGCUGGUGAAGAUUGGGCACCGGAGGAGGGAAAUCCAGGUCCCCGCCUUCGCAGCCGUGAUUGGCUGCUGGCUGGCCCUCCUUUUCUCAGCCGUGAAACAGAACCAUUAACUGCUCCCUCCGCGAGGUGCCGGGAAGGAACGCGGAAACCAGGAACCAACCCUUGGCCGGCUGCACAGCGGAGGGCAGGCAGACGGGGACAGGCACCAGGAGACCUAAUGUGUGUCAAGCGCUCAGCAGAGUCCUCAGCAGACGGUAGGUGUGGAGAAGAGCCAUCAGGGCCUGAGAGGCCCAGGCUGAGUCCUUCCCCUGCCCACUGAGGAGUCCCAGCCCUGCUCCAGGAUGUGUGAGGGCCAGAGACAGAAUGGAAGGAAUCUACCCUGAAAGAAGUCAUAAGAAAGGAGGGUGAAGGACUGCCCCUGCUGGCGCAAUGCCUAAGAAUCCGCCUGCCAGUGCAGGGGCCACGGGUUCGAGCCCUGGCCUGGGAGGAGCCCACAUGCCGUGGAGCAACUAAGCCCGUGUGCCACGACUAC
This is a non-coding RNA of Delphinapterus leucas (beluga whale), 1546 nucleotides long. The record is from RefSeq and is a predicted model, not a curated record. Lineage: Eukaryota; Metazoa; Chordata; Mammalia; Artiodactyla; Monodontidae.